UCUCCCAUUUAAACCCUAACCUUUGCUUCUAUCAUCUAUCCAUGGAUACUCGUCGACCUUCUCGCCUUAUCGAUCCAAAGGUUCGUCGGGUGGGAUUCUUCGCACCCGACCCGGAUAACCAUCCCAGACUUGCCUCAUCUCCCUCCGGGAACUCUUCAUCUCCGGCGAUGAUCUCUCAUGCCUUCGACAGCGUCUCACAAGCUGUGCCUGUUCCCAAUUCUACCUUGUCGCGGCCUCGACGAACUUCUUUUGACGAAAGUGAGCAAUUUGUGGUUGGAAGUUACAAUCCUAUGCAGUCCGUGCUGGGAACUUCACCGGCAUCCAGCGGAAUUGGUGUAGAUGGCGAAUUUUCCGAGGACUCCUCUCAGUGGGUUCGUUUAACCGAUGGUUUCGGUUUGACUUCACCUGCGAAAUCAAUGACUGAGUUGAAAGACGAUCAGGAUACCUCUAGCAUGGAACGGGUCAGUGCACUAGUGGCUGAAACACCAACUGAAGUAGAAAGAAAUGAUAAGUCACUGAAAGAAAAGACCACGAAAGCUGAAAGGCGUGCGCUGCAGGAGACUCAACGAGCUGCAAAAGCUUCGGGAAAAGCUGGGGGAAAAUCUGUGGUAAAGUUACAUGGACAGUCUGGUAAACCUGCUAAGCAGCCUCCACAAAAGAAAGAUGGUGGACCAAUGAUGUCAUCUGCAGCUCUUUCUGAGACAAAAGGAGGUGACGGACCACCAGAAAAGGAUCGCAAGAAAGAUGUACCAGCUCCUAGGAUGCAAUUUGAUGAUAAGAAUCGUGUUGAAAAAGCUAAGAAGCGUGCACUAGUUAAAAAGAUUGAAGCUAGAAAUAGAGUAGAAUUGUUUCGGCAUUUACCGCAGUAUGAACAAGGAACUCAGCUACCUGAUCUUGAAUCGAGGUUUUUCCACCUUGAUACCAUGCAUCCUG
This 933-nucleotide unclassified non-coding RNA is filed under the name Hevea brasiliensis (rubber tree). The record is from RNAcentral. Lineage: Eukaryota; Viridiplantae; Streptophyta; Magnoliopsida; Malpighiales; Euphorbiaceae.